Molecule: ribosomal RNA, 254 nt
Filed under: uncultured bacterium
Lineage: Bacteria
Description: partial 16S ribosomal RNA
Rfam family: Bacterial small subunit ribosomal RNA
Source: RNAcentral
UACGUAGGGCGCAAGCGUUAUCCGGAAUUAUUGGGCGUAAAGAGCUCGUAGGCGGUGUGUCGCGUCGGCCGUGAAAACCUGCAGCUUAACUGUGGGCUUGCGGUCGAUACGGGCAUCACUGGAGUUCGGCAGGGGAGACUGGAAUUCCUGGUGUAGCGGUGAAAUGCGCAGAUAUCAGGAGGAACACCGGUGGCGAAGGCGGGUCUCUGGGCCGAUACUGACGCUGAGGAGCGAAAGCGUGGGGAGCGAACAGG